ACGAACACUGUGAGUAGCACCAUGAGCUGGGAGGGAAACUAGGGUUUUGGGAAGCAGAAGACAGAGAAGUAGGAAGAAGACGAAGAAAGGAAAGUGGAAAAGAAAGAGAUGACAAAGAGAGAGAGGUAAAAGAGUUGAGAAAUGAUUGGUUGCCAUCAAAAUGACGUGUUACGACUUGAUGAUUCGAAGUUGUGGCAGAUCCCACUAGUACGCGAAAUGCAGAGAAGUGUGCUGCAUUGCUUCCAAUAUCCUCUUUCGUAUAAUUUUCUUUUGUAAUUUAUUUUAUUUUUUUUCUUUCUUUAUAUUUUAUUUUAGUCAAUUAAAUUUA
Molecule: long non-coding RNA, 328 nt
Filed under: Ananas comosus (pineapple)
Lineage: Eukaryota; Viridiplantae; Streptophyta; Magnoliopsida; Poales; Bromeliaceae
Description: long non-coding RNA (ACOM_LNC016783)
Source: RNAcentral